UGUUGCAACUGAUGCAUGACUUCCUACAAGAAGUUAAAAUAUUAAUCUUCUUCCUAACUUUAUAUCUACCAGCAUAGCAUAGCCUAGUGUAUCCCCACUGUAAAUAUAGGCAUUUCAUGUUCUCUAGCCCAAUGAACACCUAGUAUGGCACCAUGGAAAUGAUUUUUCAAACUCUAUAAAUUUUUUAUGGGACCAUUAAAUGUGUUUCAAUCCUGACAAUUUUAACUCAUUUAAUCAAUAACCCUCAUUCUUAUUGCACCAAACCUUCACCAUAACAACAAUGAAUUUUUAGCACAAGCAAAUUCUUACUUCCAUCCAGAAAUUAGCUAUUCAGUAUUCACAACAUUAAAAAGUCAAUAUUUCAAUUUUAUAUGGAAUAAAAGAGGUAGAAAAAAAAAUACCUUAUCCCAG
Molecule: unclassified non-coding RNA, 411 nt
Filed under: Hevea brasiliensis (rubber tree)
Lineage: Eukaryota; Viridiplantae; Streptophyta; Magnoliopsida; Malpighiales; Euphorbiaceae
Source: RNAcentral